Molecule: non-coding RNA, 139 nt
Organism: Citrus sinensis (sweet orange)
Lineage: Eukaryota; Viridiplantae; Streptophyta; Magnoliopsida; Sapindales; Rutaceae
Source: Rfam
UCCCUCAUUGAUGAAGAAUCGAUGACUCAAAUCCUUGCGGGAGUAGGCAAUGAUUAUGAUGCUAUUGUCGUUAAUUUAAUUGCUAGGAUUAAAACCUUGACCCUGCAGGAAGUAUUCUCUAUGCUGCUGACACAUGAGA